UGCCCUGAUGUGGGGGAUAACUAUUGGAAACGAUAGCUAAUACCGCAUAAUCUCUUCGGAGCAAAGAGGGGGACCUUCGGGCCUCUCGCGUCAGGAUUAGCCCAGGUGGGAUUAGCUUGUUGGUGAGGUAAUGGCUCACCAAGGCAACGAUCCCUAGCUGGUCUGAGAGGAUGAUCAGCCACACUGGAACUGAGACACGGUCCAGACUCCUACGGGAGGCAGCAGUGGGGAAUAUUGCACAAUGGGGGAAACCCUGAUGCAGCCAUGCCGCGUGUGUGAAGAAGGCCUUCGGGUUGUAAAGCACUUUCAGUAGGGAGGAAGGUAGUGUAGUUAACACCUGCAUUAUUUGACGUUACCUACAGAAGAAGCACCGGCUAACUCCGUGCCAGCAGCCGCGGUAAUACGGAGGGUGCGAGCGUUAAUCGGAAUUACUGGGCGUAAAGCGCAUGCA
Molecule: ribosomal RNA, 451 nt
Filed under: Photobacterium damselae subsp. piscicida
Lineage: Bacteria; Pseudomonadati; Pseudomonadota; Gammaproteobacteria; Vibrionales; Vibrionaceae
Description: bacterial SSU rRNA
Rfam family: Bacterial small subunit ribosomal RNA
Source: RNAcentral